RNAcentral lists this ribosomal RNA (520 nucleotides) under uncultured bacterium. Its description in RNAcentral is "bacterial SSU rRNA". It matches the Rfam family "Bacterial small subunit ribosomal RNA", at positions 338 to 873 of the family's 1533-position model. The record is from RNAcentral.
CCUACGGGAGGCAGCAGUGGGGAAUAUUGGGCAAUGGAGGAAACUCUGACCCAGCGACGCCGCGUGCGGGAUGAAGGCCUUCGGGUUGUAAACCGCUUUCAGUAGGGAAGAAGCGAAAGUGACGGUACCUACAGAAGAAGCACCGGCUAACUAUGUGCCAGCAGCCGCGGUAAUACAUAGGGUGCAAGCGUUGUCCGGAAUUAUUGGGCGUAAAGAGCUCGUAGGUGGUUCGUCACGUCGGAUGUGAAAAUCUGGGGCUCAACCCCAGACCUGCAUUCGAUACGGGCGAUCUAGAGUGUGGUAGGGGAGACUGGAAUUCCUGGUGUAGCGGUGGAAUGCGCAGAUAUCAGGAGGAACACCAAUGGCGAAGGCAGGUCUCUGGGCCAUUACUGACACUGAGGAGCGAAAGCGUGGGGAGCGAACAGGAUUAGAUACCCGUGGUAGUCCACGCCGUAAACGGUGGGCACUAGUUGUGGAACCUUCACGGUUUCUGCGACGCNGCUACNCAUAGUCGCCGCCG